Molecule: ribosomal RNA, 110 nt
Filed under: uncultured bacterium
Lineage: Bacteria
Description: partial 16S ribosomal RNA
Rfam family: Bacterial small subunit ribosomal RNA
Source: RNAcentral
CCCGGGCCUUGUACACACCGCCCGUCACACCAUGGGAGUUGGUUUUACCCGAAGACGGUGCGCUAACCGCAAGGAGGCAGCCGGCCACGGUAGGGUCAGCGACUGGGGUG